AACGAACGCUGGCGGCAUGCCUAACGCAUGCAAGUCGAACGAGACCUUCGGGUCUAGUGGCGCACGGGUGCGUAACGCGUGGGAACCUGCCCUUAGGUUCGGAAUAACUCCCCGAAAGGGGUGCUAAUACCGGAUAAUGUCUUCGGACCAAAGAUUUAUCGCCUUUGGAUGGGCCCGCGUUGGAUUAGCUAGUUGGUAGGGUAAAAGCCUACCAAGGCGACGAUCCAUAGCUGGUCUGAGAGGAUGAUCAGCCACACUGGGACUGAGACACGGCCCAGACUCCUACGGGAGGCAGCAGUGGGGAAUAUUGGACAAUGGGCGAAAGCCUGAUCCAGCAAUGCCGCGUGAGUGAUGAAGGCCUUAGGGUUGUAAAGCCCUUUUACCCGGGAUGAUAAUGACAGUACCGGGAGAAUAAGCUCCGGCUAACUCCGUG
Molecule: ribosomal RNA, 433 nt
Filed under: uncultured bacterium
Lineage: Bacteria
Description: partial 16S ribosomal RNA
Rfam family: Bacterial small subunit ribosomal RNA
Source: RNAcentral